ACUCUCAGAGGCUACCACCACCGUCUUUCACCUAUCCAUCUUUUGAACAGGAACUAACGCAUUGACCUUGCCAGGUCUGUCGUCGACACCACCACGACUCCAGACAGUGCCGUCCUCCUACGCGAGUCCGUCAACCCUGAACAGACGCCGAGACUCCACAGCACCACGCCACUGAGAUCUGAUGUCGUCGAUGUAGAGGAUGAAACUCUGCUCAACCUCUGGGCCCUUUCAGUCAGCACCUGCUCCAAAACGAUGCCCCCAGGUUGAUGUCGUCAUCGUCCGAUCCGGGAAGACCCAAAUCUAGGGUUUCCCCCGGAGCAGCCCGAGGGAGAUGACGUUGCCUGCAAUGAUGAUGCCUGCAACAAGGAAACAGUGUCAAUGACGCCGCUGGUACGUCUCCAACGUAUCUACUUUUCCAAACACUUUUGCCCUUGUUUUGGACUCUAACUUGCAUGAUUUGAACGGAACUAACCCGGACUGACGCUGUUUUCAGCAGAAUUGCCAUGGUGUUAUUUUUGUGCAGAAAUAAAAGUUCUUGGAAUGACCUAAAAAUCAACGGAGAAUAUUUUUGGAAUAUAUAAAAAAUACUAGCGAAAGAAUCAAGGCCAGGGGGCCCACACCCAGUCCACGAGGGUGGGGGCGCGCUCCCCUGCCUCGUGGGCCCCUUGACGCUCCACCGACCUCAACUCCAACUCCAUAUAUUCAUGUUCGGGGAGAAAAAAUCAGAGAGAAGGAUUCAUCGCGUUUUACGAUACGGAGCCGCCGCCAAGCCCUAAUCUCUCUUGGGAGGGCUGAUCUUGGGUCCGUUCGGGGCUCCGGAGAGGGGAAUUCAUCGCCAUCAUCAUCAUCAACCUUCCCCCAUCACCAAUUUCAUGAUGCCACCACCGUGCGAGAGUAAUUCCAUCAUAGGCUUGCUGGACGGUGAUGGGUAGGAUGAGAUUUAUCAUGUAAUCGAGUUAGUUUUGCUAGGGUUUGAUCCCUAGUAUCCAUUAUGUUCUGAGAUUGAUGUUCCGAUGACUUUGCUAUGCUUAAUUCUUGUCACUAGGGCCCGAGUGCCAUGAUUUUAGAUCUGAACCUAUUAUGUUUUCAUGAAUAUAUGAGAGUUCUUGAUCCUAUCUUUCAAGUCUAUAGUCACCUAUUAUGUGUUAUGAUCCGUUAACCCCGAAGUGACAAUAAUCGGGAU
This 1183-nucleotide long non-coding RNA is filed under the name Triticum aestivum (bread wheat). RNAcentral's name for it is "long non-coding RNA (TAES_LNC020213)". Lineage: Eukaryota; Viridiplantae; Streptophyta; Magnoliopsida; Poales; Poaceae. The record is from RNAcentral.